AUACGGAGGGGGUUAGCGUUGUUCGGAAUUACUGGGCGUAAAGCGCGCGUAGGCGGAUUGGUAAGUUAGAGGUGAAAUCCCGGGGCUCAACCCCGGAACUGCCUUUAAUACUGCCAGUCUUGAGUUCGAGAGAGGUGAGUGGAAUUCCUAGUGUAGAGGUGAAAUUCGUAGAUAUUAGGAGGAACACCAGUGGCGAAGGCGGCUCACUGGCUCGAUACUGACGCUGAGGUGCGAAAGCGUGGGGAGCAAACAGGAUUAGAUACCCUAGUAGUCC
Molecule: ribosomal RNA, 274 nt
Filed under: uncultured bacterium
Lineage: Bacteria
Description: partial 16S ribosomal RNA
Rfam family: Bacterial small subunit ribosomal RNA
Source: RNAcentral